Molecule: ribosomal RNA, 996 nt
Filed under: marine bacterium HD-20
Lineage: Bacteria
Description: bacterial SSU rRNA
Rfam family: Bacterial small subunit ribosomal RNA
Source: RNAcentral
GGCGAGCUGAUGCAGCAACGCCGCGUGAGGGACGACGGCCUUCGGGUUGUAAACCUCAAUAGCAAGGAAGAAGCGAAAGUGACGGUACUUGCAGAAAAAGCGCCGGCUAACUACGUGCCAGCAGCCGCGGUAAUACGUAGGGCGCAAGCGUUAUCCGGAAUUAUUGGGCGUAAAGAGCUCGUAGGCGGUUUGUCGCGUCUGCUGUGAAAACCCGAGGCUCAACCUCGGGCCUGCAGUGGGUACGGGCAGACUAGAGUGCGGUAGGGGAGAUUGGAACUCCUGGUGUAGCGGUGGAAUGCGCAGAUAUCAGGAAGAACACCGAUGGCGAAGGCAGAUCUCUGGGCCGUAACUGACGCUGAGGAGCGAAAGGGUGGGGAGCAAACAGGCUUAGAUACCCUGGUAGUCCACCCCGUAAACGUUGGGAACUAGUUGUGGGGUCCAUUCCACGGAUUCCGUGACGCAGCUAACGCAUUAAGUUCCCCGCCUGGGGAGUACGGCCGCAAGGCUAAAACUCAAAGGAAUUGACGGGGACCCGCACAAGCGGCGGAGCAUGCGGAUUAAUUCGAUGCAACGCGAAGAACCUUACCAAGGCUUGACAUAUAGAGGAAACGUCUGGAAACAGUCGCCCCGCAAGGUCUCUAUACAGGUGGUGCAUGGUUGUCGUCAGCUCGUGUCGUGAGAUGUUGGGUUAAGUCCCGCAACGAGCGCAACCCUCGUUCUAUGUUGCCAGCACGUAAUGGUGGGAACUCAUGGGAUAUGCCGGGGUCAACUCGGAGGAAGGUGGGGAUGACGUCAAAUCAUCAUGCCCCUUAUGUCUUGGGCUUCACGCAUGCUACAAUGGCCGGUACAAAGGGCUGCAAUACCGUAAGGUGGAGCGAAUCCCAAAAAGCCGGUCCCAGUUCGGAUUGAGGUCUGCAACUCGACCUCAUGAAGUCGGAGUCGCUAGUAAUCGCAGAUCAGCAACGCUGCGGUGAAUACGUUCCCGGGUCUUGUACA